AUACGUAGGUGGCAAGCGUUGUCCGGAAUUAUUGGGCGUAAAGCGCAUGUAGGCGGUGCCUUAAGUCUGUCGUGAAACUGCGGGGCCUAACCCCGUAUGGCGAUGGAAACUGUGGCACUUGAGUGCAGGAGAGGAAAGGGGAACUCCCAGUGUAGCGGUGAAAUGCGUAGAUAUUGGGAAGAACACCGGUGGCGAAGGCGCCUUUCUGGACUGUGUCUGACGCUGAGAUGCGAAAGCCAGGGUAGCGAACGGGAUUAGAUACCCCGGUAGUCCUAGCCGUAAACGAUGGGUACUAGGUGUGGGAGGUAUCGACCCCUUCCGUGCCGGAGUUAACGCAAUAAGUACCCCGCCUGGGGAGUACGGCCGCAAGAUUGAAACUCAAAUGAAUUGACGGGG
This 396-nucleotide ribosomal RNA is filed under the name uncultured bacterium. RNAcentral describes it as "partial 16S ribosomal RNA". It matches the Rfam family "Bacterial small subunit ribosomal RNA", at positions 523 to 918 of the family's 1533-position model. The record is from RNAcentral.